Molecule: ribosomal RNA, 603 nt
Filed under: uncultured bacterium
Lineage: Bacteria
Description: bacterial SSU rRNA
Rfam family: Bacterial small subunit ribosomal RNA
Source: RNAcentral
GUUGCAUGACUUGAUUAUGAAAGAUUUAUCGCUUAUGGAUGGACUCGCGUCAGAUUAGAUAGUUGGUGAGGUAACGGCUCACCAAGUCAACGAUCUGUAGCCGAACUGAGAGGUUGAUCGGCCGCAUUGGGACUGAGACACGGCCCAGACUCCUACGGGAGGCAGCAGUGGGGAAUAUUGCGCAAUGGGGGCAACCCUGACGCAGCAACGCCGCGUGCAGGAAGAAGGUCUUCGGAUUGUAAACUGUUGUCGCAAGGGAAGAAGACAGUGACGGUACCUUGUGAGAAAGUCACGGCUAACUACGUGCCAGCAGCCGCGGUAAUACGUAGGUGACAAGCGUUGUCCGGAUUUACUGGGUGUAAAGGGCGCGUAGGCGGACUGUCAAGCCAGUCGUGAAAUACCGGGGCUUAACCCCGGGGCUGCGAUUGAAACUGACAGCCUUGAGUAUCGGAGAGGAAAGCGGAAUUCCUAGUGUAGCGGUGAAAUGCGUAGAUAUUAGGAGGAACACCAGUGGCGAAGGCGGCUUUCUGGACGACAACUGACGCUGAGGCGCGAAAGUGUGGGGAGCAAACAGGAUUAGAUACCCUGGUAGUCCACACCGUA